This is a non-coding RNA of Macaca mulatta (Rhesus monkey), 548 nucleotides long. Lineage: Eukaryota; Metazoa; Chordata; Mammalia; Primates; Cercopithecidae. The record is from RefSeq and is a predicted model, not a curated record.
UUUUUUGGAAAGAUGCAUUUUUGUCAUAUUUCCCAGGCUGAUCUCCAACUCCUGGGCUCAAGUGACCCACCUGCUGGGAUUACAGAUGCUAACUCCAAGAGGACCUCCUAAUAACCUUUCCUCAUGCAGAUCUCCAUGUGAGUCAACUUUCUGAAGAAUCCCACCUGUGACAGGUUGUAAGAAAAUGAACUGAACCGUUUUGAGGCUUUGUGAGUCUACGUGUGCCUUGGGCAACAAGUUUCAGGCAAAAGCAUUUUUUUUCUAUUCUGCAAUAUUCACCCAUUAUAAAAAAAGAAAUCUUGCAAUAGCUUUCAGAUAUUACACCUUUUUAUGGUAGGGUUUGAUCUCGGCUCCCUUUUCCCUUAUAGAAAAUCAUGGAGAACACCUUGCCACUUUUCCAAUACACUCUAAAUUCUCAAUAGUUGGACACUUGGUUUUUUCCAUCUUGGAAACCACACUACAUUUUAUAGAGCCUUGUACACAGCGGAUGGAUGAUGAAUAAGUUGGUGACUGACUGUAUUAGUGAAGUAAAGAACAAAUGAAUAUAA